GAGCCCUCUGGCUGUGCGUGUCUGAGGAUCCUCCGGAGGACUUGCGGACGCUUUGUGGAGCCCGUUAGUGCACCUGGCUGAUACCCAUGCUGCCAACAUGUCCCGCUACCUGCGUCCCCCCAACACGUCUCUAUUCGUGAGGAACGUGGCUGAUGAUACCAGGUCUGAAGAUUUACGUCGAGAAUUUGGUCACUAUGGUCCUAUAGUUGAUGUGUAUGUUCCACUUCAUUUCUACACUAGUCAUCCAAGAGGAUUUGCUUAUGUUCAAUUUGAGGAUGUUCGUGAUGUCGAAGAUGCUUUACAUAAUUUGGACAGUAAAUGGAUUUGUGGACGUCAAAACUGAAAUCCAAUUUGCACAAGGAGAUCGGAAGACACCAAAUCAGAUGAAAGCCAAGGAAGGAAUGUGUAUAGUUCUUCACGCUACGAUGAUUAU
Molecule: RNA transcript, 433 nt
Organism: Chrysochloris asiatica (Cape golden mole)
Lineage: Eukaryota; Metazoa; Chordata; Mammalia; Afrosoricida; Chrysochloridae
Gene name: serine/arginine-rich splicing factor 10 pseudogene
Exons: 1
Source: RefSeq, a predicted model, not a curated record